CCUACGGGGAGCAGCAGUGAGGAAUAUUGGUCAAUGGCCGUAAGGCUGAACCAGCCAAGUCGCGUGAAGGAAGAAGGAUCUAUGGUUUGUAAACUUCUUUUAUAGGGGACUAAAGGUAUCCACGUGUGGAUAUUUGAAUGUACCCUAUGAAUAAGCAUCGGCUAACUCCGUGCCAGCAGCCGCGGUAAUACGGAGGAUGCGAGCGUUAUCCGGAUUUAUUGGGUUUAAAGGGUGCGUAGGUUGUUUUUUAAGUCAGCGGGGAAAGUUUGUGGCUCAACCAUAAAAUUGCCGUUGAAACUGGAAGACUUGAGUGUGUUUGAGGUAGGCGGAAUGCGUGGUGUAGCGGUGAAAUGCAUAGAUAUCACGCAGAACUCCGAUUGCGAAGGCAGCUUACUAAGCCAUAACUGACACUGAAGCACGAAAGCGUGGGGAUCAAACAGGAUUAGAUACCCGAGUAGUC
Molecule: ribosomal RNA, 460 nt
Filed under: uncultured bacterium
Lineage: Bacteria
Description: partial 16S ribosomal RNA
Rfam family: Bacterial small subunit ribosomal RNA
Source: RNAcentral